CGCAUGCGUGCGACGGCGCUUGCGGGUUUGCUGCUGCUGCUGCUUCUGCUGCGAAGGAAAAGGUUCGGAGGAGAUUCGCUCACCCUGCGAUGGUGAAGGCGACUGCACAGACACCAACACGCACCGCAGCACUGCAUUGUUAUCCACCACCACCGCCUCCUAACCCACUCUAGCAUCCCUGCACGGUGCGGCUGUGCGGUGGUGUGUGCCGCGGACUGCUUCCUCUGCACUGGUAUUCCUUUCUUGCCGCUACACUCACCGUCGUCAUGACGACGCUCGUACUGUGCGACGGCUCGGAGGGGUCUCUGCGAUCGAUCGAGGUGGCGUGCGCCGGCAACGCCACCCCCUCAUCGUCGAUGCCAUCGCAGGAAGGCUCGCUCCUACUCCUCCACGUCUGGGAUGCCCCAGUGACGCGAACGAGCAUCCUUCACCCCAGCGUUGGUGCCGAGGGCAUGUAUGCGCCUCGCCGAUCGGUUAGCAGCGCUGCCGCAGCAGCUGCUCACACCUCCGCUGGUGCCGGCGAGCACGGCGGUAGCUCCAUGCCGUGUGCCGACGUGCUCACCACGACGCUGCGAUACAUUCAUUCAAACAAGUACUUGAAGAACAAACUGCACUACACAGUGGAGACGGCUUGUGCCUCGACUGUCUUCGCCCGUGACAACACCGACCACAGCGUACUCCCCGAAGCUGGCGCUGCGCCAACAGGCGGUGCCGCGGCUUUGCAGGCAGCGCACGGCAGGUCUGGGCAAGGGCAGAAGCACGCCUCUUGUUUGCCUGGCGGUGCUGUUGCGGCUCACCGUCGCUCCGAUCGUCGCCCAUCGCAGAGGCAAAUCGACACGGCAGCGGAGAUCUCUGCUGGAAACAGCAACAACACCGGCGGCGGCACAGCGCCAGAGAGACAAGAAGCCCCCGUCAGCAUCCCAGAAAACGAGAAGAGAGCCAUGGCGGUGGUGAAGUUCGCCACCGCGCGCGCGGCGCACCACCAUGUCACAGCCGUCCUUCUCGGAGUCGGUCAGCGGCAAGAUGGGAAGGUGUGCACCGUCGGGGCGGUGGCGCAGGGGGUCCUUCUCGAGCUGCGCAGCCUCUACCCUCUGUACUACGUGAAAAAGGACGGUGUUAAGUGGCGCCCCGCGUUGUCGACUUCGACGACGACAGCCGCAGCGACCCCGCGUCGCUUCACGAUCGUAGUGACUGUGCCCUCAGACGCACGAUGGGAGUCAGCCGCGGCAGCCGAGACGAGGAGCGCCAACGAGGAGGUGGCCCCGCAAACGACUGCCUCGAUCGAGACGCCGUCAGUGGCACCUCCACAGGUGCCCAUGCACGUCCAGGAAACGGUAGCGGCGACGGUACAGUACCUGCAGACUCGCUGCAUGCGCCUCCACUCUGCUCCGCAGGUAGAACCGAUCACGUUUGCCGUGAUCGCCACGUCGAGCUCGCAGGAUGGCGACAGCAUAACGGAACCAGAUCGCAGCGAGAACAGCGGCCACGUCGCUGCUGGCCCCGGCGCUUCCGGUGGGGAAGAUGGCUCGACGCGGAUCAGCCCUCUUGAAGCCUACAAGCGGUAUCUUGAGUCGCUCCCCUUCGUGGAAUGCAAAUCGAUCCCCCCUGCCAAUGCAGCUGCGCCUCCGUUGUUGCCGGUGAGCAGCAUCAACCCUGCCGCUGUCGGUGAAGCCGAUAGGAUAGAGCAGCGGCAGCAGCCGGAAGAUGGUGCUGCGGCGAUGUGUGUUGAGGGCAGCGCUACAAUGGCACCCGCGCCGCGAGGAGCAGCCUCCCCGGUGAGGGUCUGUAUGCUCAAGGCCUCCAAAAAGAACCCGCUCCUCAGCCUCGAUUCAGAGCCGGAAGUGGCACUCCCGCAGAUUAUAAAGCAGGUCGGGUCGCUGAAGCCGGAGGUGCUGGUCAUGCCGAAGUCCCUGGUACCCGAGUCCCUGCAGCUGGCGCUGCUAGCCACCAGCAACCCGCACUGCAUUGUGCUCCCGUUCUGAGACACAGGGAUGCUUCGCUGGCGGUCGUUGGUGUGGGACUAUUGUUUGCCGCGUACGUGCGUCUGGCACGUCAGGUGUUGUCGCCUGUAUUUUCUUUCGUCGCUCCAACGUGUUCGUUUCGCCGCCGCGGGGCGCGUGAGCUCAAACCCCCCCCCCUCCACACACACUCCACCACUACACAGCCGAUCACACGCCCCCACCACAUCGCGCCGUGCGAAGCAGCCCGAGACACGCGUUACAGCAAUAUGCCGACUCGGUCAUCCAAGUACGGCCUCUGCCUCGAACUCUACCCACCCACCCCUCGCCUCACAGUCGCUCCUCUCAACGUGCCGGGUGGGGUACGUUGCAGUCACGUUGAGACGCUCUGCCCAUCAUAUGGAUGGCACAUGCAUGUUCGCUGUUGCGAGUCUCUCCAGCGCAACACUAUCCAGGACAUGGCCGCCGACAUCAGUCACCGUGCGUUGCUCUGACCUCCCCUACGUCGUAGGCACCUGACCGUGUCACCACCAAAGGUGGUUCGCCAUUUGGCAGAGAUAGGGGGGCUGCCUGGCUGCCUCCCACACAGAGUGUGGAUGUGCUGGACCGCGAGAUACCACGCACGGAGGUGCCCUCCGUCAUCCGGGUGCUGAUGGCGUUGCGGGCGAAAAAGGGGGCUUCAUGUAGUUAGCCCUAUGUACAUUCGAAGACACUGAGUGUCACGUGGCAGUCUCUGCAUGGAUGACCACACCACCUCUUCGCAUGUGUGUGUGUGUGUGUGUGUGUGUGUCGCUGCUGUUCAGCACGUGGCACUCGGUUACGUUAUUCGUACAGAACGAAAGAAGAAUUUUUUUAAAAGGCGAUGUGGCUUUGUUCUCUACCCGCUCUCCGUAUCCAUCCUGCGGCCGGGAUGCAGGAGGGGUGGCGCGUGUCAGGUGUCUGUCUGUGCAGCACGAGCCCCCUCGAGGUGUGCC
This 2932-nucleotide unclassified non-coding RNA is filed under the name Leishmania donovani. RNAcentral's name for it is "gene:LdHU3.11.0490(CDS-product:hypothetical_prote in_conserved)". Lineage: Eukaryota; Euglenozoa; Kinetoplastea; Trypanosomatida; Trypanosomatidae. The record is from RNAcentral.